This 98-nucleotide ribosomal RNA is filed under the name uncultured bacterium. Its description in RNAcentral is "partial 16S ribosomal RNA". The record is from RNAcentral.
AAGGCUUCGGUUGUAACCCUUCAGUGGACGAAGCUUCUCCGGUGAAUAGCCGGACGGAGUGACGGUACCUUCACAAGAAGCACCGGCUAACUACGUGC